CAAUAGCGUAUAUUAAAGUUGUUGCAGUUAAAAAACUCGUAGUUGGAUUUGUGGUUCGUCCCGCCGGCUGGGUCAUUGACUUUUGCUGUGCUGGUCGUCCAUCCUUGGGUGGAAUCUGUGUGGCAUUAGGUUGUCGCGCAGGGGAUGCCCAUCGUUUACUGUGAAAAAAUUAGAGUGUUCAAAGCAGGCUUAUGCCGUUGAAUAUAUUAGCAUGGAAUAAUGAUAUAGGACCUUGGUACUAUUUUGUUGGUUUGCGCACUGAGGUAAUGAUUAAUAGGGACAGUUGGGGGUAUUCGUAUUCCAUUGUAAGAGGUGAAAUUCUUGGAUUUUUGGAAGACGAACUACUGCGAAAGCAUUUACCAAGGAUGUUNUCAUUNA
Molecule: ribosomal RNA, 378 nt
Filed under: uncultured eukaryote
Lineage: Eukaryota
Description: partial 18S ribosomal RNA
Rfam family: Eukaryotic small subunit ribosomal RNA
Source: RNAcentral